Molecule: non-coding RNA, 72 nt
Organism: Ovis aries (sheep)
Lineage: Eukaryota; Metazoa; Chordata; Mammalia; Artiodactyla; Bovidae
Source: Rfam
UCCCUGGUGGCUCAGAGGGUAAAGCAUCUGCCUGCAGUGCGGGAGACCCAGGUUCAAUCCCUGCGUCAGGAA